GUUCUCUUCUAUUCCCCCAAGAGAUCGAACGAAUAUAUCACUAACUUUGACAAAGAACAGUUCCUCCUCGUCAUCAAUUAAUCAUUGUUGCUCAAUUACAAAACCCUUUUAUCUAAUUGCCAUUUCCAUCCUCUCAAACCAAAUGACAGCAAAAACUAGCAAGCUAGAAAUGGCAAGUAGAAGAGAUAUUAGAUGCAGCUGGUGCGGUGUGCAGCUACUAGUGCCACCAGAAGCUCAAGCCAUUAGAUGUGCAGUGUGCCAAGCCAUUACCAGGGUUCAAUCCUACGACCCUUUAACUCAAGUCCGCGACUCCAUAAACCAGGCAGCUACCCGGAUCAUCAACAUAGUGUCUAGCACCAUGACUGGUCCGGUGAGUAGCUAUCCCGUGGCACCCGCGGCGGGGACGUGUGGUUAUGGUUAUUAUGUUCAGCCACCAAGGCCAGUAAUCUUGCCUCUUCCUUCACUCCAUGGAAGGAAGCGAGCAGUGCUUUGUGGGGUGAGCUAUAAAGGAAAGAGCUAUAGGAUGAAAGGAAGCAUUAAUGAUGUGAAGUGCAUGAGAUAUUUUCUUGUUGAGAAAUUGGGGUUUCCUAGUGACUCCAUACUUAUGCUCACAGAAGAUGAGAUUUGCCCACUCAGGAUCCCAACAAAAGAGAACAUGAGAUUGGCUAUGCGAUGGCUUGUUCAAGGUUGUCAACCAGGAGACUCAUUAGUGUUUCACUUCUCCGGGCAUGGUUCAAAGGUGCCUGAUAAUGACAAGGAUGAGGCUGAUGGUUUUGAUGAAACUUUAUGUCCUCUUGACUAUGAAACUGAGGGAAUGAUAAUUGAUGAUGAAAUCAAUGACACCAUUGUAAGGCCUAUACCUAAAGGGGCUAUGCUUCAUGCCAUUAUUGAUUCCUGUUAUAGUGGAACCAUACUUGAUCUACCAUUUGUGUGCAAGAUGAAUAGGGAAGGAUACUAUAUAUGGGAAGAGCAAAUAUGUUCAUCAGAUACUUACAAAGGCACAAGUGGAGGGUUAGCCCUUUGUUUCAGCGCUUGUAAUGAUAAUCAAACUUCUGUGGAUACUACAGCAUUGUCAGGCAAUGCUUCAACUGGUGCCCUUACUUACAGCUUUAUCCAAGCAGUGGAAAACGAACCUGGAUUAACAUACGGUCGCUUGCUUAAUGCCAUGCGCCAGGCUAUUCGUGGGGCUAAAACUGGUGGAUUACGCCUCAGUGGUCCUAUUGCUGCUCUAAUUAACAGAGCCCUAUUUAAUACAGAGUUAACGCAGGAACCUCAAUUGUCUUCGUCUGAGAAAUUUGAUAUUUAUUCCAAACAAUUUUUACUGUAAUGCUUGCUUGUUUGCAAUGGCUGUUGUAUAAAAGUUAGGUUGCAACUGUUGCAAGCUUGAACUCAUACAAGAAUGAGUCUAGCAAUCCUUAAAUUAAAUAUUUAUUGUAAGAUUUGUG
This 1445-nucleotide unclassified non-coding RNA is filed under the name Hevea brasiliensis (rubber tree). The record is from RNAcentral. Lineage: Eukaryota; Viridiplantae; Streptophyta; Magnoliopsida; Malpighiales; Euphorbiaceae.